GACAGAGGGAGCCCGACUCCCGUGCCUCUGGCAUGAGGAAAGUCCCCCCACCGGCCGGACAGGCGACCGGGCACACGCCCGGAGUCGGAGACGGCUGGCUCUGGAACAGCAACGACACCCCCCACCCCGACCCGUGAUUCGCGCGAUCGCUUCGGCGAUCGCGGCGGCCGCGGGAUCACCCGCGACCGCGCGAACCGACCCGCAAGGGAAGGGAGUUAACCCGAUGAGGAUCGACGGGUGGGAACGGAUGGAACGGCGAAUCCUCGCCGGUGCAAGUCCGCGCCACAAGGUAGUCCGGCCACGGCGCGGACGCUUAGCCGAAUGUCGGGAUGAACCGAAGGGGGCUUACUCCCCUCAGUC
Molecule: RNase P RNA, 360 nt
Filed under: Halorubrum lacusprofundi
Lineage: Archaea; Methanobacteriati; Methanobacteriota; Halobacteria; Halobacteriales; Haloferacaceae
Also listed under: 1 other name
Description: RNase P RNA component
Rfam family: Archaeal RNase P
About the family: Ribonuclease P (RNase P) is a ubiquitous endoribonuclease, found in archaea, bacteria and eukarya as well as chloroplasts and mitochondria.
Source: RNAcentral